GAAACGACUGCUAAGACUGGAUAGGAAGCGGGGAGGCCUCUCGCCGCUUUUAAAAGACCUAGUUUCUAGGUAUGCUUAAGGAGGGGCUUGUGCCAUAUUAGUUAGUUGGUAGGGUAACGGCCUCCCAAGACGAUGAUGUGUAGCUGGACUGAGAGGUUGAACGGCCACAUUGGGACUGAGAUACGGCCCAAACUCCUACGGGAGGCAGCAGUAGGGAAUUUUCGGCAAUGGAGGCAACUCUGACCGAGCAACGCCGCGUGAACGAUGAAGUACUUCGGUAUGUAAAGUUCUUUUAUUAAGGAAGAAAACAGCCCGGCGAACCGGGCUUUUGACGGUACUUAAGGAAUCAGCCCCGGCUAAUUAUGUGCCAGCAGCCGCGGUAAUACAUAAGGGGCGAGUGUUAUCCGGAAUUAUUGGGCGUAAAGGGUGCGUAGGCGGUGAAGUUAGUCAAUGGUGUAAUGGCAGCGCUUAACGGUGUCCGGCUAUUGAAACUGCUUCACUCGAGUGAGAUAGAGGCGAGUGGAAUUUCCAUGUGUAGCGGUAAAAUGUGUAAAUAUAUGGAGGAACACCAGAGGCGUAGGCGGCUCGCUGAGUCUUGACUGACGCUGAGGCACGAAAGCGUGGGGAGCAAACAGGAUUAGAUACCCUGGUAGUCCACGCCGUAAACGAUGAGUACUAAGUGUCGGGUUCCCCCGGUACUGAAGUUAACACAUUAAGUACUCCGCCUGAGUAGUACGUACGCAAGUAUGAAACUUAAAGGAAUUGACGGGACUCCGCACAAGCGGUGGAUCAUGUUGUUUAAUUCGAAGAUACGCGAAAAACCUUACCAGGCCUUGACAUGUUCGUGCAAUGCAGUAGUAAUAUUGCGGAGGUUAUCACGAUCACAGGUGGUGCAUGGUUGUCGUCAGCUCGUGUCGUGAGAUGUUAGGUUAAGUCCUAAAACGAGCGAAACCCUUGUCAUUAGUUGCCAGCAUGUUAAGAUGGGGACUCUAAUGAGACUGCCAGUGACAAACUGGAGGAAGGUGGGGAUUACGUCAAAUCAGCAUGCCCCUUAUGGCCUGGGCUACAAACGUGAUACAAUGGCUGUGACAAAGAGUAGCUGAAACGCGAGUUUUUAGUCAAUCUCAAAAACGCAGUCUCAGUUCGGAUUGAAGUCUGCAACUCGACUUCAUGAAGUUGGAAUCGCUAGUAAUCGCGAAUCAGCAUGUCGCGGUGAAUACGUUCGCGGGGUUUGUACACACCGCCCGUCA
RNAcentral lists this ribosomal RNA (1250 nucleotides) under 'Ligustrum ovalifolium' phytoplasma. Its description in RNAcentral is "bacterial SSU rRNA". It matches the Rfam family "Bacterial small subunit ribosomal RNA", at positions 153 to 1399 of the family's 1533-position model. Lineage: Bacteria; Bacillati; Mycoplasmatota; Mollicutes; Acholeplasmatales; Acholeplasmataceae. The record is from RNAcentral.